CAUUUUGGGGUUUGGGUUUUAAAAGGAUUGAUUAUGUUUUUGCUUAGAUUACAUGGUUGAGGUCAGUGUGGCUGAGGGCUGCUGAAUCCAUAGUAGCAUCACCUAAUUUAGUAUUGUUACAUUGUGCAUUUAGAGUUGAUUUUGAGAAGAAGACAGGUUGAGUUUGACCAAUGAACACAACAAGAUCCCCUCUUCUACUUGAAAUUACUAAAAUAAGGGGAGCAUCUUUAUCUAGAUGAGUAGGGCUGUACCUAGUAGUGUUGCCUUGAGCAUUUUCUCUGUGUUGGAUAAAGUCCGUCCAAUUUUGAGAAGUAAAUGAUUUUGUGCACUAAUUUGUUAAUCCUUGUUCGAAUGAGUGUGGCUACUGGCUAAAUUUUCCUAGUUUCUUUCUCAGCUCUCAGAGUGUGAUCUGUUCGAUUGGAAAAUGGUUAGAAAAUAGUAUGUGCUUCUCCUUGGUGAAAUCUGAUUUUUUUCACUAUCUUUCUGCAUCGAUAGAUGUUUAGGCCAAUCUGAUCAAAUUCUGGAAUGCUUAAUUGCAUAGCUAGUGAAAUAACCACACCAGCCGGUGAAUAUGGAUUACAAGACCUAUUAAUACACCAAACAGUUAAAAGGUUGGGAAAAUGAAUUUAUGCUGCUUCUAAACAAGACCAAGUGCAUUUCUUAUAUUUCCGUCUUUUACUCUCUCUCUUUGAUCUGUUUCUGGAAGUAAAGUUAAUUAAGGCUUUCUUGUGACUUUUGUUUCACUGGUAGGUUUCAUGAUAUAGUUUAAAUAAAUUUGGAAGCCUUUAUCAAGAUUAAAGAAAUACAUAGGCCCUGCAUGUUUCCGUGUCAUGUAAUCAUUGAUUUAUAUCAUGUCUGAAAAACAUACGCACUUUUAACCAACUGGAUGAUGAAGUUCCUUCCAGUGUAUACUAAGUAGGUCCUAAAUGGUAAGGCCACAUGAUUUACAGUGUGGAGAGUUACAAUGGUCUCUUGAUAUUUUCUCUGUGCUAAAUGUGGAUUUUGUUGAUGUUUUUUCGGUUGAGUGGGAUUUACUUAUUAGAGCAAUAAUACUAGCAAAUAACUGAUAAAAAUUUGUUCAAAGUGUUGUGUUAAUUUAGUCCAUUGUGUAUGGAUUUGGAAUUCAUAUUGUUUGGAUUUUGUCCUUGUUGCAUUGUAACUUUGUUUACAUGCAGUCCAAACGAUUGAUGGGGAAAUAGAUAAACAAAUUUCUGUUUGGAGAAAGCACAGAGCAGUGUUGUGCCACUUUUUCUUAUGCUAGCCUUUAUGCGCAAGGUCAAAUGAGCUCUUUGUGCUAAGCCAGGCCACUUAUCACAUUCACAACGAGUUUAUGAGGCCAGAAUCGGUCCACCCACCCAGAGCUCAAAUGCAUUUCCACUCCCCCCCCCCCGCGCCUAGUCAGGAGGUGGAUUUUCCAGGAUAUUUGCAUCUCUACUUCUGACCAAAUAAGUGGUAGCAUUUACUCAUCUGGCCUUGUUAGCAUUGGAAUUGGUGCUAUGCCCCAGACACUGGAAAUUGGCUCUGACGAUAUAGAACAUGUUAGAUCCCAGAUUCCCAUACAAGUUCCUUCAUCUCACAUUUCAAUUGGCGAUGGUCCACAAACUCCGAAAACGACAUCAUUCCUUCAGUCUCUCAUGCUUUGGCCAGCUACUGAUGGAACCUUCCAGUUAUGCAAAAGAACCUGGAAAUGCUGCACAUCCUACUAAUGCAGCUCUGUCUUCCGAGCAUCCUAGGACAAAAGCCACUUAUAACCUUUGGUGAUGCAUUAGAUAUGUACCAUACCAUCUCAGAGAAGGAGUUGAGGAGGAGCUAACUUCUAAAGGGGUUAUUAGUGUAGACUUCAUUUUUCUCAAGGGUUGAUCUGCAAACUUAGUUGUUGCUUACUAACUUCUGGAGUCCUAGGUUUCCCAUGCUUCAAAUAAGUGAUAACAGUGUUAUUUGUUGUCCGAUUUCUUGAGUUAAGGAGAGAGAACUAUUCCGGUUUUGAAAAAUUAAUUGAAAAAGUCAUAGGGCCGAUCGACUGAAUGAGAGCUUUAUGAGUUGCAAUCUUGUUGAUAUUGGUGCAUAAAAAUGAUUUAAGCAAUAGGAAUAAAAGCCUCGUAUACAAAUUAUCACAUGCCUGACCCUGCAUAAACCCUUAGUGAGCCAGUUUGAGCCCAAAAGCCUAAUUUCUUUGUUAAAAAUUUUGAAAUUACUAUAUCAGCUUACCUAUUAUAUCCAUUUGUUGGCCUAUAUUUUCUUCCCUAGUCACCAAAAUUAAAGUGCUAGCACAUCCUUGAGAGUGAAAAGUUGUCACUUCAAACGAAAAUAGAAUAAAAAGACAACCUUUCGUGUGUAAAAAAAGCCAAGGCUAGGAAAAAAAAAAGAAAAAAGGCAUCCUUUCAUGAGUAAAAAAAAGCCAAGGCUAGAAAAAAACCACGUUCUACUUUGUUGAGAGCUCUACUUUACUGUUGAUCAAGUUCCAGAGAUGUCCGUUGUUCUUCAAUAACCAUGUUCGAGCCUUGUUUCCAUUCAAUAUACAUCCAACACAUGUUAUCCCAGCUAGCCAUAUUCUUGCCAAGUCUCUUUUCUCAGCCCUCUUACAAUCACUGCUCUUGAGGGCAAACAAAAUCAAACUCAGGGGAGAAAGCUUUGGUUCUGCUUUCGGAUAGAAGUGUAGUGACAGUUCCCACACAAGACCUUCUACCAACCAAUCCUUGGAUACUUGACUAAGUUGAUGAUCUUCCACAACUAAGUUAUUUGAGCAUUUAGUUCUUCACAAUCUUCAAUAUAGAUAUUUACAAGAUAGUUUGAAUAGAAUGGCAGGCCCUGGAUUUUUGUCCGUCAAUCCAUUUAAAAAUGUCUAGCUAUAUGGGGAUGAUAAAGAAAGAAGCUUUUGGACACUCCUCAUGCUUAUGUUGUAGCUGAUGCGGUAUACAAUGCAAUGAUAGCAGAUGAAGUAAGCCUGGCUUUAAUUAUCAGUUUAAGCUUAAAAGGAUAAGAGAGUGGACGGAAGGGGCACAAAAUGAGGAAAUUGACUGAUAAGAAAGGAGGGAGGUGCAAAAAAAAAAGAAAGAAAAAAAGAAAAAAAAGAAAGGAGGUUCAAAAAAGAAAAAGAAAAAAAAGUAAGAUGGAGAUGCAUGCAAAAAAAGAAGAUAAAGCGUUGUUGGUGGAGAUGGAAUCAAGAACUGUUACAAGGGAGAAAAGGAGUUGAUAUAGGAGAGGAAUGAGGCUGACAUAGGGGGAACAAGAUGAGGAAGUUGCCUGACAAGAAAGAAGGAGAUGCAAAAAAGAAAAAAAGAAAGAAGGAGAUGCACGCAAAGAAAGAAGAUAAAGAUCUGAUGGAGGAGAUGAAAUUAACAACCUCAUGAACUAUUACAAGGGAGAAAAGGAGUUGAAGUAGGAGAGGAAUAGGCUGACAGUUCUGAACAUGCAAGGGAAGAAGAGAAAACUGCCCAGUCUAGGACAUGCUCCAGAUCCCAUGACGUGCAGAAGCUGACCAACACAAGGCAUCGAGGGCAACUAGGAUAACCAUGUUCGAGCCUUGUUUCCAUUCAAUAUACAUCCAACACAUGUUAUCCCAGCUAGCCAUAUUCUUGCCAAGUCUCUUUUCUCAGCCCUCUUACAAUCACUGCUCUUGAGGGCAAACAAAAUCAAACUCAGGGGAGAAAGCUUUGGUUCUGCUUUCGGAUAGAAGUGUAGUGACAGUUCCCACACAAGACCUUCUACCAACCAAUCCUUGGAUACUUGACUAAGUUGAUGAUCUUCCACAACUAAGUUAUUUGAGCAUUUAGUUCUUCACAAUCUUCAAUAUAGAUAUUUACAAGAUAGUUUGAAUAGAAUGGCAGGCCCUGGAUUUUUGUCCGUCAAUCCAUUUAAAAAUGUCUAGCUAUAUGGGGAUGAUAAAGAAAGAAGCUUUUGGACACUCCUCAUGCUUAUGUUGUAGCUGAUGCGGUAUACAAUGCAAUGAUAGCAGAUGAAGUAAGCCUGGCUUUAAUUAUCAGUUUAAGCUUAAAAGGAUAAGAGAGUGGACGGAAGGGGCACAAAAUGAGGAAAUUGACUGAUAAGAAAGGAGGGAGGUGCAAAAAAAAAAAAAGAAAGAAAAAAAGAAAAAAAAGAAAGGAGGUUCAAAAAAGAAAAAGAAAAAAAAGUAAGAUGGAGAUGCAUGCAAAAAAAGAAGAUAAAGCGUUGUUGGUGGAGAUGGAAUCAAGAACUGUUACAAGGGAGAAAAGGAGUUGAUAUAGGAGAGGAAUGAGGCUGACAUAGGGGGAACAAGAUGAGGAAGUUGCCUGACAAGAAAGAAGGAGAUGCAAAAAAGAAAAAAAGAAAGAAGGAGAUGCACGCAAAGAAAGAAGAUAAAGAUCUGAUGGAGGAGAUGAAAUUAACAACCUCAUGAACUAUUACAAGGGAGAAAAGGAGUUGAAGUAGGAGAGGAAUAGGCUGACAGUUCUGAACAUGCAAGGGAAGAAGAGAAAACUGCCCAGUCUAGGACAUGCUCCAGAUCCCAUGACGUGCAGAAGCUGACCAACACAAGGUAUGGUCAAUAUGCAAUAGGCAUCGAGGGCAACUAGGAUAACCAUGUUUGAGCCUUGUUUCCAUUCAAUGUACAUCCAACACAUGUUAUCCCAGCUAGCCAUAUUCUUGCCAAGUCUCUUUUCUCAGCCCUCUUACAAUCAUUGCUCUUGAGGGAAAAUAAAAUCAAACUCAGGGGAGAAGCUUUGGUUCUGCUUUCGGAUAGAAGUGUAGUGACAAUUCCCACACAAGACCUUCUACCAACCAAUCCUCGGAUACAUGACUAAGUUGAUGAUCUUCCACAACUAAGUUAUUUGAUCGAGCCUUUAGUUCUUCACAAUCUUCAGUAUAGAUAGCAUAACUAGUCGGCCUUACUACCAAAUCUGAGAAUGAAUGGAACUUUAGAUUCAAGUCACAUACAAGCUGAGCAUAAUACUCUAACAUCAUAAAAUAACUAUUCAGCAAAAACGGCCUAAAAUCGAACAAGACCCAUUUAACUACUCCAAGUUAACCCCGGUGCUCAAGCAAGACAAGAGGGAAAGGAUGGAGACUUAGCUCUGGCCGACGAAGGCGACAACGAGCCAGACGUCGGCGGGCUGAGCCUGCACUGAGUACCGAAAGGGGGGGAAUGACUUGGGUCGGCGUUGACCAAAUGCCGUAAAUCAUUACCGAACGGACGAUGCGGCUGCAGAGCCGGCAACAGAGGACGACGCGGCGGAAGAGACUAUCGCAGGCUGCAGGAUUGGGCCGACGGACUUGGGGAGUAUUUUAUGCCAGUGCAAUUUUCAUUGGGCCACUACAAAUAAAUUCCUUUUGGGCCAUGAAUUAAAUUUAGUUUCGGGCCUGCUUUUAAUUCCUCGGGCCGCAUUAAAUUUUAUUGGGCCGUAGUCUCUCUUAUUUGGAUUGGGCCGUGAUAAAAAAAAAGGAAAAAAAAAACUAGUCACGUUAACACCAUGUCCAAUAAAUGAUUAAAUUGGACUUAUUUUAAUUUUUAAGCAAAGUAAGUAUUUUUAAGUUAAUUAAGUAUAUAAAUCCAAGAGGAUUUAAAUUUGAAAAUGGACUUCUGAUAAUCAAGAGCCACUAAUUAAAACAUCAAAUUUGAUUUAUAGACCCUCCUAAUGUCUUGCCAAAAUUAAAUAAUGGAUAGCCGCUAUUUAAUUUCGCGGAAAUAAGAUUAAGAUGUUUAUAAUUUAAUCAGUGCACGAAUAAUACGGCGAAUGCCCAAAUAAUUAAAUCAUUUGAUUUAAUUAAUGAUUAAAGAUUUUAUGGAUUUAGGAAGAAAGGAAAUAAAGAUGAUCACAUGCUUAGGAAUGCAUACAUGCUAGAAAUAAUUACUGUAACAUCCCAAAAAUGACUCUAGACGAAUUCAUGGUUCAGGUUAAGGAAUCGACGACUCAGGGCUUUCGACGAAUAAAUCGAUAUUGAAAAUAAUGAUAAUCGAUAAAAUAUAGUUGAUAAUUUUUAUAAGGAUAAAAGGUGAUGAGAAUUAUUUAUUAGAAAUAAUAUAUGAGUUAUAUUAUAAAUAAGAUAAGGUUUGUGUUAAAAUUGUCUAUUUCGAAUUAUAUGUGGUUGAUUCGAUAACAAAAAAAGAGCCAAAUAAGUAACAAGGAUUAAGGAAUAAAGUAGCAUUUAAAGUAAGUAUUAGAAGUAUAGUGAGGGUGAGAAUGAGAAGAAAAUCGGAGUUGAAUCGGGAAUCAUAAAUAGAAUACGGUAGAAGGGCAAAAUCGUCUUUUCACAUGAAAUAAAAUAAAAUAUCUUGUUUAAAUCAUAGGGCACGAAAUUUCCAGCAUUUUGGACAUGUUUGACUUCAAAAUAUGCCUUAAAGUUAAUAGAAAAUUCUAGAUAAAAUAAAAUAACUAUGCAUGAUUUGAAGAAUGCCACUUGUACACCAAAAAUACCAUGAAAUUAAUUAAUAAUUUGGGACACUUUUAUAAACCAAAAAUAACACUAUUUAUCCUCAUUUUCAUCCCAAAAGUCGUGUCCUCCAUAUCCAAGGAGUUCCAAGUUUUCAUCUUCAAAUUUUAGCUCCGUUUCUCAAUGUAUUGAAUACCCGAUCGCGCAAUCGGUGUUAAAUCAAGCUACACCCAAAUGUUAGCAAAUGAAAGGAAAAAGGAUCGGCGAAAGAAGAAAUGUCGAAUGGAAAGGUUUGGAAAUAACGUCAUCCAGGUAGCAUGCUCAACACUUAAAUGGUCUAAUUCUCUUACGUGUUUUUCCGUGAUUAUUACGUGACUUAUUGUCUAAAUAAUUUAUGAUUAAUUAUGUGAUAAAAUAUUCAUGAAGUAAAAUAUAAGAAUAUGAUGGAUUGUUGAUUGAUUUGAUAAUGAAAUAUGUGAAAAGAGUAUACGUUGAGGAGAUGGAAAUAAAUGUGAUUAAAUGUGAUGAUGUCUGAUCUAUCUAUCUGUGAUGAGGUCUGAUUUGUCUGUCUGUGUUGAUGUAUUAUUAUUUUAGUAGAUUAUGAGUAAUUAUGUGAUAAAAGACUUAUGAAGUAAAACAUGAGAAUAUGAUGAAUUAUUGAAUGAUUUGGUACUGAAGUAUUAAAAUGGAAGAAUAUGAUUGUGACUGUAAAGAUGGUGAGAUGUAUACAAAUAAGAUUUACAUGUGAAAUAUGUCUGAUCGAUCUAUGAUGACGUCUGAUCUGUCUGUAUGGAUUUGUUAUGUUGGAAAUCGUUGAUGAUAAAGUAUACUUGUAUGUGCUUAUGCCCCGUGCUUGAGUGUGUUCUGUGGGUACAAUUGGCAUGCCAUAGGACAGCAGCGCUGCAUUAUUUGUGAUCUCUCGUCUUCUGGAUAACCGAAGCGAGGAUCGUCUGUUAUCUGAUCUGUCUGAUCUACACCCUAUGGGUGGUCUGUUCCCGGGAUUAUCUGUCUGUAUCCGAAAUGGAAGGUCUGAUUAUCUGUCUGCACUCUAAUUGGGUGGUCUGUGCGGAGUCCUCUCGAGGACAAAAUCCGCGUCUGUAUCUGAUUCUGAUUCUGAUUCUGAUUCUGAUCUGGUCCGCGUACCCUAGUAAGUCACUAAGCACAUUAAGGGGCCAUGUGUGAAAUUAUGUGAUAAUGUCGAUCGAAAUAUUCGUGAUGAUAUAUGUGACAAUGUGUAUGACAACAUAUGAGUUAUAAUAUGAGAUUAUGUGAAACAUCUUUGAUAUGAUAAUAUCUUAUACGUGAAAAUGGAUUUUGUUACAUGGUUCUGUUGAGUUUUAUUAUAAAUAUUGAAAAUCUGAGACUUGCAGAUGUAGUUUAUGACAUGUGAAGUUUUGUAUUAUUAUACCCCUCUGAUGACAUAGUUUGGAAAUUUGAAGUCGUGGACGAAGAUUUGACUACUGGUACGGGUUAAUUGGAUCGUGGAUUCCUUUGGAUAUUUCUUUCGUUUCUUCGCCAGCACUGCAUCCUCGGUGGGUCACUGAUCACUGCUUGCGGCGUUUGUGUCCAUUUAUGUUAGAUGUGGCAUGUAUAGUAUUUGAAUUUUUGUAAUAGCUUCCGCUGUGUUUGUAAAUAGUGUUGGAACUUUUGCUGAUAGGUUAAUGAAUUAAGUUUGGUUUUUAA
This is a long non-coding RNA of Salvia splendens (bonfire salvia), 8028 nucleotides long. RefSeq lists it as uncharacterized. NCBI's taxonomy places the organism in Eukaryota, Viridiplantae, Streptophyta, Magnoliopsida, Lamiales, Lamiaceae. The transcript is spliced from 21 exons. The record is from RefSeq and is a predicted model, not a curated record.